RNAcentral lists this ribosomal RNA (560 nucleotides) under uncultured fungus. RNAcentral describes it as "eukaryotic LSU rRNA". The stretch from base 204 to 357 matches the Rfam family "5.8S ribosomal RNA". The record is from RNAcentral. Lineage: Eukaryota; Fungi.
CUUGGUCAUUUAGAGGAAGUAAAAGUCGUAACAAGGUUUCCGUAGGUGAACCUGCGGAAGGAUCAUUAAAGGUUUCGGGUACCCAGUGCCCAAACUUCAACCCUAUGUUUUAACUAAAUCAGUUUCUUUGCCGGUUUCGGCCGGCAGAAGUUUUCUAAAACUCAUUAUAAAUGUGUCUUCUGAAUCAAAAUUAAAUAAAUUAAAACUUUCAACAACGGAUCUCUCGGUUCUGGCAUCGAUGAAGAACGCAGCGAAAUGCGAUAAGUAAUGUGAAUUGCAGAAUUCAGUGAAUCAUCGAAUCUUUGAACGCAUAUUGCGCCCUUUGGCAUUCCGAAGGGCAUACCUGUUCGAGCGUCAUUACACCUCUCAAAGUUAACUCUUUGGCGUUGGGCAAUGCCUAGAGGCAUGCCUCAAAAUCAGCGAUGGUGAUAUUCAACCACAGGCGCACAAACGUCGUCUAGCUGGCGGGAUGUUGUCAGUCAAUUGAUGAAUUUCUCAAUGUUGACCUCGGAUCAGGUAGGAUUACCCGCUGAACUUAAGCAUAUCAAUAAGCGGGAGGA